CACAUUUUCUUUUCUCUUUUUUUUUGAAGGUCAAAGAAAGAGAUAUCAACCAGAUGAGAAGACCAGGGGAACAAAUGGUUGGCUUUGGCUGGCCUCUUCUGGCCUGUGAGGGAGGGAUGGCACCUUUGACCCACAGCUGGCCUGCCCAAGGAAUUGCCCAUCUGUAGAUUCCCCCUGGAAAGCACCACUUCUCUGUUCCAAGGAAAACAUAGGGGUUAAGGUGGGAGCUUGAGAGACUGACAGCGUGGGCUCAAAUCUUAACUCCCCCAGGGAGCCUCCGUUUUAUUUAAAUUUUCACCUUCAUCUAGCACAAUGAUUCAGCGAGGCAAGUUCAGUGUCAGGGCAGCUGCUGUUAAGUGCAAGCCUUUGUGUGAAUCAGGAAGGGACAUGCCUCCUUCAAAACAAACCCUACAGGCUCUGGGUCCAUAAAGCACAAAUAAACACCCCAUCAAGGCCCAAGCAGUCUUCCAGCCUGGGGCCUGGCAAGCAGGGCCCGGAGAGGAUGUUAGCACCUUUGGCCUCUGCCCUGGGUGCUCUCAGGAAGGGCCCAACUACGACUCCAUGUUGUAGCCCUGACAGGUCCCACCAUUUUGCAGGCAGGGCGGGUAAAGUAUUUGUGUUCUGAAAAGAUCACCCUGACUAUUGUGUAGGAAGUGGAUUGGAAGAGGCUGAGGUUGGAUGCAGGAAAUGGUGAGAGGCCUAGGGCCACUGUCCAGGUGAGAGAUGACAGGAAUUCAGGAGAAGGGGAUGCAGGGAUGGCCAGAAGUAGACAGGUUCCAGGAAACAGAGUCAACAGGUGUGGGGGCUUCUGUGAGGACUCAGGACCUGAUGAAGAUGGCAUCAACAAACCUAUCAACUGAGGGCUUAUAUGUACCAGGCACUAAGUUAUUCAUGCAAGUUCUUUGAACAAGGAGAACUAACUUCAUCCCUGUGUGCUUACUGUGAGGAUCCGAGAAAACAAGGAGCCUAUGGUAGCUCCUUCACUGAUGGUAAACCCUGGUUUGAUUAUUACUGAGCAGAGAACAUUGAAAUUCCUCUGUUAGUAAAGAAGCCCUGGUCUGUGGGGCUGGGCAGUAGUCUAGGGCUAGACAGUGGUACAAAAUUAAGACAGUAGUUUCAUCACUUGCUGGGCAUCAGAUCAGAUUCCUCCUGUUAACUUUUAAAGGUUACAUAUACUCAACCCCACCUCCAUGCAGCUGUUCUUGGGCAGGGGUCUUGGUAUCAGUGUUUUAAAAGCUCUCCAGAUAGCCCUGGUAAAGAAGCACUGAGUUAAAAGAAGAAUCUAUGGAAUCUGACAAAUCGAGGUGAAAACCCAGCUUGCCCUUCACAGCAUGGUUUCCCUUGCUUAAGCCUCAGAUUUUCUGUUUGCAGGUGGAGAACUGAAAUUCUGCCCCUUUGAGGUUGUGAGGAUUAAACGAGGUGUUGUAUGUACUCCGUGGUACCUCUGGGGACAUCUCCGUUCAUGCCUAGCUUAGCAUGGAGGCUGGCCCCUCAUGUGGAUUCAACAGAUGUGACUUCCAUGACUGUGGGGUCAGGAAGCAAAGGGACCACAUGGGGCCAUAGGCUAGCCCCAGGGUUGAGUGCUCUACAUCCAUCACCUUGUUUAGUUCUUGCCUCAAGUGUGCUUCCUUCACAGAUGCAGAAACCCAGACCCUGGGAAGAAAUAAUCUUCCCAGAGGUGCAAAGCAGGAGGGCUGGAUUUGAGUCCUGUUCUGUCUGUCUAGAGGACAGCACGAAGCAGACUCAGGCCAUGGCUUAUUAUUCAAGAGGAAGACUUGUUACCAAAGUGAUGCUACCAGGGACACAGUCUGAACUGUGUGUGAACUGCUGGGCUGAGCCACAAAGUGAAGGGAGGGAACAGCUAGACACCAGCAAAGGCAGCUGCUACUAAGAGCCUCUCAGAUAUAAGAAGAGGAGAUGGUCUAGGAUCCAGGAGUAGAGGGAAAGAAGUGUGAGAGAGGCUGCUGCUGACGUAUCUAGGCUAAGGCUAGGGUAUGAACAAGACUGCACACGCCAACAGACCCAGUGCCUUCCAUAAGCCAUUCAGGUAAAGGCAUUCAACCCUCUUCUUCAUCCAGAGAUGCCUCCUAUCCCUAAGAUAAAGGCAGGGGUCCACCCUCUUCCAUAGGAUCCAUCUCUUGGCAUGUCUUCCUACCCUCCCCCUUUCUGGGACUUGCCGCCAUCCCCAUUAUGGACCCAGCCAUAUUUGUGUAAUGACACCCCUUUUGUCUUUGGGGAAUUCAGAAGGACUGUCCAUGAGAAAAGAAUAGCUAUUCCAGACUGGAAGAUUUUUGACUUCCUGCUUUUCAAGUGUAUUUGCUUUUAUCAAUGCAGGGAAUUUGCUACUGGCCAGAUAGAACUGCAUUUUGAUACCACACUGGGGCCCAAGGACAUCUCAAACCCCUGUGUGGGAAUACCAAUUUCUCAUAAAGAAGUAGAAAUCAACACUAGCAGCUUCCCUGCUAAGUUAAAAAAAAUUACAUAAUUCCUUGUGCACCACUGCAUUAGGAAGAUUUUUUUUUUUCUUUUCUUGAAUGUACAGUAAAUCCCAAGUGGUUUAAGUCAUGGUGCCUCUCCUUAAACACAAUAUGAAGUCGCUACCACACUAAAAUAAAAAAAUAAAUAAAUUCUGUGUUGUGCUAGGAGAGUCUCCUGCCAAAAACUCUCACACAAUUAACACACUAGCAGAAUGUGUUGCUAAUUUCAUGCCACUGGAGUCUUUUCUGCUUCAGAAUAUAGAAACAAAAUCGGGUCAGAGCUCCAAUAAUAACAGGAUUUUGUUAAAAUGUACAGGCCUGCGUUGCAGAUAUGUUGUAGGCAUGGGUGAAAAGCAGAAUCACAGUGAUGCAUGAAAUAGCUUACUCCUGCAAAUAGAACGGAAAGAACUUGUCUCCAGCUUGGGAAGAGAGAGAGAGAGAGAGAGAGAGAGUCAGUCAGUUCAGUCUAAGCCCAGAACUGCUCAUUCUGGGGGCAAAGCUUCAUUUUCAAUGCCCAUCCACUGACUUUUACAGGGGAGGCAAAUGCCAGGCAAAGAAACUAGGGAAGCCCAAACCCAGUAAAUCACAGAAUUCUGAUUUCCGUAGUUUUCUCUUAGACUCCUCUCUCUCCUCUUAGCCUUCUUACACAGGACCUGGUCUUUUCCAUAACAAAAACAGCGAUAAUGAAAAUAUUUUGGCAGCAUUCAGGCCUUUCACAUCAUGACCCUGACCUCUAAAUCAAUUUUCUUUAUUCUUAACCUGACCUUGGCAUCCAUUCUCCCUGGCGUUCAAUAUUAGUUACAAAAUCUUGAACUCCCUGAGACCUUCCUUCCCCCCCGCACCCCCCUAACCAAGGCAGACCACGCUGGGGAAGCCCUGGAGAGGAAAGACAGAGAAAGCUUCUUGACAAAGAGAAAUAAUAAUGAGAUAAACAAGCCCGAUGUGUUCUAUAGGAGUCUCAUUUGCACCAAAUGCCAUUAGCCCCAUUAUUUACGCAGAUAACGGUGGAGGCAGCCUGGGCUCCCCGUGUGCGUGCGCAGGGCGCUGUGGAGAACACCAUGCAUCACCAGGCGGCCCAGGCGCUUCACUUAAAUAGUGAUCUGUAAGGGAGAGCAUGUUACAUUGCAUCCAUCACCUAUGGGCUCGCCGGGUGCACAGACUGGAAAAAUUGCGCACAUUUCUCCGUUGCUGCCUGCAUUAAUACUAGAAAGGGAGUGAACUGAAAAGAGAAAGUGCCAAUUUCAGCACACAUGUUAAAAAGAGAAGCAAAGAAUAGGAGGAAAAGAAAGCAUCACCCAGGCUCAGGAGCUGAGCCGGCUGGGGGAGGUUUUUUAAAGGAGAAGACAGCUUUUCAGAACUCUCCAGCAUUGACCAGGAGAAUAAGGACCCACUGAGACAAGAGUUCGGGGUCAGCAUACAUUUGAGAGAAGAAAUUAGCUGGCAAGGGCUAUUUUUCUGCAAAUUAGUUUUCUCUCAAGGGUAACCGUGGGGGAGGAGCAGAGGAAAAUGAACUGGAGCCCAUUGAAUAAUCCAGUAUUGUUUGGCUGGUUGCCAUGACCUGUGAACUGAUGCUCCCAGAAGCUUUUCCAGGCCCUUCUUUCAUUCCGGCCAUCUCACAGCUGUUGAUGUGUGUCCUGAUGGAGCAGCUAUGAGGACAGCAGUGUGGCCCCGUGAAACAACCAUGCACAGAGCCUCGGCUCCACUUGACCAGAAAGGCAUGGUUUGCUAGCCAUUCCAGCCCACUAGAGGCUGGACAAGUGGCAGGACAGGACAAGGGGGGAAAGACAGGAUCCAAACUCUGUAUUGGUCCCAAAGAACAGAGCCCAGGGGCAAGGUGCAAAACCACAGCAACACAGCCUGAAGUGACAGACCAGCUUUUCUUGGGAUUAAAAGAACCAAGAGUUCAGCAGCAGUUGGAACAAUCAAAUGCAAAGGGAAUUCUUCUAGGAUGUUUAUGACAUCAAAACGAGCCAGUUCAUCCUAAGGUACCUGUGCCUUGUGGUUUUCAAGUUCGGGUUCUGACUGGAAUUCUCAGCAUCAUGCUCUUCCUUCAGACACAUUAUCCUCCUGACUCGGGAAUUUAUGAACACUGUGUCAUCUAAACCAGGGUCCCCUCUAAGUAUCCCAAAUGCAGAGGAGCAGAAAGUACAAGUGCAGGUGAAGUGAAGCUGGAAGGGGCUCCUCAUAAGGGGCAGACUGCUUGGACACCUUGUUCAUCUUUUAAAAAAAGUACCUAAAUCUGAUAUAUUAUGUGGCACUCUGAAAUAAUGAACCUUAAAAAGAGCACACUUUUAAUCCCUGUAGUAUCUCGAUUCUUCCACAUCAUUCUAAGACAGAGCUCAAUCUAUAUCAGAACAUAAAAGGACAAUCACCCAUUUUCUGUUUGAACGGGAUCCAUCCCAGAUAUCCAAAACUUAAAACAUGAAAAGGAAAACAUGUCAUAAAAACAAAGGAACAGGGUAAUUACAAUGAAGGAAAAUGGGAAAGUUGAUAAUCAGUUUAAUCUGUGGCUUUGGACACACUGGGGCAUAUUCCCAUUUGGCAAAGCUUUAUAGAAGAGAAGGCUAUUGUAAAGUGAUGAAAAACAGACCUCACUGGUUGUAACCACUUUGUAAUAAACUGCCAUGUCAUGUCCACUCUGAUGCAGUCAGAGCACAGUGCAGCACCAGGCAUAUAGCAGGUGCUCAAUAAAUAUUUGUUGAAUUAAAA
This 5186-nucleotide long non-coding RNA is filed under the name Marmota monax (woodchuck). The record is from RNAcentral. Lineage: Eukaryota; Metazoa; Chordata; Mammalia; Rodentia; Sciuridae.